This 223-nucleotide long non-coding RNA is filed under the name Elaeis guineensis (African oil palm). RNAcentral's name for it is "long non-coding RNA (EGUI_LNC032882)". The record is from RNAcentral. Lineage: Eukaryota; Viridiplantae; Streptophyta; Magnoliopsida; Arecales; Arecaceae.
AUUAAAAUUUUUAUGUAAUAAUUUGAUUUGUUAUUUAGAAAGCCUUGCAUGUCUGUAGGGUCCAUCUUGCAAACAUGCGGUGUCUAUUACACUUUAGUUCGGGGCAUAGCAGAUUUAGUAUCAGAUCCUAGGUUUAAGAUUACUAGGACGAGCGAUAGACCAUGAUUGAAAUAGUGAUAUAAAAGUUUAGUAUCUAAGAUUGUUGCCCAGAGGUAGCAACCCA